This 366-nucleotide transfer-messenger RNA is filed under the name Methylophilaceae. Its description in RNAcentral is "JABFRO01 sp013141125 Standard tmRNA". It matches the Rfam family "transfer-messenger RNA". From Rfam's summary of the family: Bacterial tmRNA, also known as 10Sa RNA or SsrA, is named for its dual tRNA and mRNA-like properties. Its role is to liberate the mRNA from a stalled ribosome. The record is from RNAcentral. RNAcentral also lists the same sequence under 1 other name. Lineage: Bacteria; Pseudomonadati; Pseudomonadota; Betaproteobacteria; Nitrosomonadales.
GGGGCCGACCAGGCUUCGACGUGGGUUGCAAAGCAGUGCAGGGCAUACCGAGGCUCAGUUCCCUCGUAAAUACAGCUGAAACAAGUAUAGUCGCAAACGACGAAACUUACGCUCUAGCCGCUUAAUACCGGCUGGACGCUGCACCAUCUCUCCCGUGGGGUGGAUUGGGGGAACCCAUCGCAGCGUCAUAUACACGGGAUACGUGAUGUGUCGGGUUACUUGGCACUUCAUUAACCUCAAGGUAACUCGUCUUGCAGUCGCUUGUCGGUUGGUGCAUGCAAGAUUAAAUCAAACAACCAGGCUAAGUAUGUAGAACUGUCUGUGGAGGGCUUGCGGACGGGGGUUCGAUUCCCCCCGGCUCCACCA